Molecule: ribosomal RNA, 395 nt
Filed under: uncultured bacterium
Lineage: Bacteria
Description: bacterial SSU rRNA
Rfam family: Bacterial small subunit ribosomal RNA
Source: RNAcentral
AUUGAACGCUGGCGGCAGGCCUAACACAUGCAAGUCGAACGGUAACAGGAAGCAGCUUGCUGCUUCGCUGACGAGUGGCGGACGGGUGAGUAAUGUCUGGGAAGCUGCCUGAUGGAGGGGAUAACUACUGGAAACGGUAGCUAAUACCGCAUAAAUGUCGCAAGACCAAAAGAGGGGGGACCCUUUCGGGCCUCUUGCCAUCGGAUGUGCCCAGAUGGGAUUAGCUUGUUGGUGGGGUAACGGCUCACCAAGGCGACGAUCCCUAGCUGGUCUGAGAGGAUGACCAGCCACACUGGAACUGAGACACGGUCCAGACUCCUACGGGAGGCAGCAGUGGGGAAUAUUGCACAAAUGGGCGCAAGCCUGAUGCAGCCAUGCCGCGUGUAUGAAGAAGG